GAAAGAUCCUGGGCCAAGUCCCAGAGCUCCAAGUGCUUCCUAUUUACAUGGCAGGAAAGACCAACACGCAAGAAACAGAGGCCAGUGAAGGCAGGUUUAGAAUGGACUGUGACAGUGACAGUGGGAAGUGGAGAGAACAGGUGCAGUCAGGAAGACUUCCUGGAGGAAGAGACUCUCUCCAUAGCCCUCUCUGAUGCAACGAGCUGCCAGGGCGGAGAGGCCCACAUGGCAAAGGACUGAUAGUGGCCACAGCUGACAGCUGAGAGGGGCUGAGGCCUUCAUCCUACAGCCCUAAGAAACUGAAUCCUGCCAACACCAGCAGCUUGGAAGUGGAUCCCCCCUAGUGGAGCCAUGAGAUGAGACCUCAGCCCCUCCAACACUUGGAUGGCAACUUAUGAGAAACCCUGAGCAGAGAACCCAGCCAAGCAGUGCCCAGACUUCUAGCCACAGAAACUGAGAUGACAAAUGAGUGUUAUUUCAAGCCACACACUUUGAGUUAAUUUGUUUCCAGAACAGAUAGCUAAAACAAACGCUGAUUUGAGUUUUAUAUAAAGAUGGAUGAUGUAGCAAUUAAACUUGGCAAAUG
This 586-nucleotide long non-coding RNA is filed under the name Homo sapiens (human). RNAcentral describes it as "HSALNT0048809". The record is from RNAcentral. Lineage: Eukaryota; Metazoa; Chordata; Mammalia; Primates; Hominidae.